This is a long non-coding RNA of Etheostoma cragini (Arkansas darter), 770 nucleotides long. RefSeq lists it as uncharacterized. NCBI's taxonomy places the organism in Eukaryota, Metazoa, Chordata, Actinopteri, Perciformes, Percidae. The transcript is spliced from 3 exons. The record is from RefSeq and is a predicted model, not a curated record.
ACAUCUACCAGAGCCGCAUAGUUAACAUAAGAACUAUAAUUCUACAUAAUAUGAAGAACACAGACAUGAUUUUACAGCCAAGACGCAAUGCAGUCGCUGCUUCCUAAAACAAGAAGGAAAGCUGGCAAAAAAAGGUUGACGCUGUAAAUGCGUAAAUCACAACGCUUAUCAAUAUCACUUCUCCAUCAGUCAAGACCAAGAUCUGACCAGAAUUACACUUUUGCUUUCCAUAAAUUGUUGUUGCUGCUUUAGCCUAUUAUUUUAGUUUCAACCCUGGCAGUGGGAAGCAAUCGGGAGAGUAAAUAAAAAAAAACAUAUAAAAACAAAUCAAACCGAUGUGUCGCAUUGGCACCACAUGGCACAAGAUGCCAACAAAUAAUUUCCUCCGCUGGAAAUCUUAAUCUUUCACAAAGAUACCCAUCAUGGAAUGUUAACGGGGUUGUCAAUCUCUAAAUGUUUUAUCUUUCAUGAGCGCACUUCUCUCUCCCCACACACAUGGGCUCCACCGGAUCUUCUAAGAAGGGUGAAACCGUUAUCAAUCGAGUAUUGACUGGUCAGUAGGCGGUGCCUUUACACCGUUGAUCUCUAAUCUCCAACAUAACCUGCUCCCGACCAGGUGAGGUGUUCAGCAUAAAUUACCACGGCACUGUAACCCGGGUAACAAGCGAUCCGUCGUCGUGACACACAAAACCCUGGGUUGAAGCUGAAGUUACCUCAUUAAUGCCAAAUCUUGCUCCGUAGUACAGGCCUCUGGUGUCUUAAUAAUCUAA